RNAcentral lists this ribosomal RNA (590 nucleotides) under uncultured beta proteobacterium. RNAcentral describes it as "bacterial SSU rRNA". It matches the Rfam family "Bacterial small subunit ribosomal RNA", at positions 335 to 915 of the family's 1533-position model. The record is from RNAcentral. Lineage: Bacteria; Pseudomonadati; Pseudomonadota; Betaproteobacteria.
ACUCCUACGGGAGGCAGCAGUGGGGAAUUUUGGACAAUGGGCGCAAGCCUGAUCCAGCCAUUCCGCGUGAGUGAAGAAGGCCUUCGGGUUGUAAAGCUCUUUCGCAAGGGAAGAAAACUUAUCUUCGAAUAAAGGAUGAGGCUGACGGUACCUUGAUAAGAAGCACCGGCUAACUACGUGCCAGCAGCCGCGGUAAUACGUAGGGUGCGAGCGUUAAUCGGAAUUACUGGGCGUAAAGCGUGCGCAGGCGGUUUUGUAAGUCAGAUGUGAAAUCCCCGGGCUCAACCUGGGAACUGCGUUUGAAACUACAAGGCUAGAGUGUAGCAGAGGGGGGUAGAAUUCCACGUGUAGCAGUGAAAUGCGUAGAGAUGUGGAGGAAUACCAAUGGCGAAGGCAGCCCCCCUGGGUUAACACUGACGCUCAUGCACGAAAGCGUGGGGAGCAAACAGGAUUAGAUACCCUGGUAGUCCACGCCCUAAACGAUGUCUACUAGUUGUUGGGAGAGUAAAAUCUCUUAGUAACGCAGCUAACGCGUGAAGUAGACCGCCUGGGGAGUACGGUCGCAAGAUUAAAACUCAAAGGAAUUGACG